UAGCCUUGACAUACUACAAAAUUUGACAGAAAUGUUGAAGUGCCUUCUGGAGAUGUAAUACAAGUGCUGCACGGCUGUCGUCAGCUCGUGUCGUGAGAUGUUGGUUUAAGUCCCGCAACGAGCGCAACCCUCGUCGUUAUUUACUAACGGUUCGGCCGAGGACUCUAAUGAGACUGCCUUCUGAAGGAGGAGGAAGGUGAGGACGACGACAAGUCAUCAUGGUCCUUACGGCUAGGACAACACACGUGCUACUAUGGUUAGGACAAUGAGAAGAGAUACCGCGAGGUGGAGCAAAUCUAUAAACCUAAUCUCAGUUCGGAUAACAGUCUGCAACUCGACUGCUUGAAGCUGGAAUCACUAGUAAUCGUAAAUCAUCUAUGUUACGGUGAAUACGUUCCCGGGUCU
RNAcentral lists this ribosomal RNA (405 nucleotides) under uncultured bacterium. Its description in RNAcentral is "bacterial SSU rRNA". It matches the Rfam family "Bacterial small subunit ribosomal RNA", at positions 976 to 1381 of the family's 1533-position model. The record is from RNAcentral.